RNAcentral lists this transfer RNA (72 nucleotides) under Dipodomys ordii (Ord's kangaroo rat). It matches the Rfam family "tRNA". Rfam says of the family: Transfer RNA (tRNA) molecules are approximately 80 nucleotides in length. Their secondary structure includes four short double-helical elements and three loops (D, anti-codon, and T loops). Lineage: Eukaryota; Metazoa; Chordata; Mammalia; Rodentia; Heteromyidae. The record is from Rfam by way of RNAcentral.
GGAGAUGUAGCUCAGUGGUAGAGCACCUAAUAGCAAUGUACAAGGCCCUGGGUUCACUCCCAAGCACCACCA